GGCAUGACGAAAUGUUAAUCUUAGUUUCCCAGAUUGUUUUUGCUAACUGUGCGGUAAACGAGGUAGAAACUGCAUGAGUUUUUGUUGAAUCUAUAAGAGUGAGGUAGCUAAGAACUUAUGAAUCUUAAUCAACAGCAAGCAUGUAUUUUUGAUACUGAACAAGAGUGAUCAUCUGAUGUCGAGUCCAGUCUGCCACUGAGAGAUAGGGUAAGGGCCCACGUUUGAUUUUGGUGUUUAAGCCCCAAAAUAUGUCUAUAGAGAGCGUUAUCGGCAGAUCAAAGUCAGCUCAGCUCAUUCCCACUCACGCACUGAUUAAUUGACAGCACCUACAACUGAUAUGUUGUUUCACGACAUCGAGACAACAAAGGCAUCUGAGAUAACAAAGGUAUUUUCGCUGUUCUUAUGAAAACUUAGCUGUUUUUAUUACUCGGGCUUCUGUAGGAAAGUUCGAGUCUUAAAAUGCAAGCCGUUCUUGGUCGUCAAAAGGGGGUUCAUGGUCCCAGGCGUUCCUUGCGUAAACCGCGGAAACUGGGGAUGAGAGUGCGACAGCUUGUGUUAUCAUGUGCUCGCUCUUCGUAAGCAACAUAAUUUACAGAAUACUGUGCUUCGCGAAGACCGCUUUGCAAAGAUUCCUGUCUGAUACGCCCAUCUCAUAUACAAACACACACGUCGUUCGUGGUAGGCCCAGCUAAAGGAUGUCGAGCGUUUUCAGAAUGGCUUGGUCCACGAGCUCUCUAGCUUGAAAGCUAGCCAAAUGUGGAAAGUUCAUACUAGUUCUCACGAGAUAACAAAUGAGACUUCAAACUACGAAAAUACUGGCAAAACUGUGACAGCCGAUUUAACAACAAACUAUAAUGCUGAGAUGAACACCUCACUUGCUGAAAACAUCAAGAAUGCUCGUUAAAAACUUCGAAGUGGCGCUAACAAAAGCGAAUUGGAUGAGGAUAAUGACAGAAGAAACUUGAAUACUUUAAAUGGACAAGCAAAUACGAUUAAAAAUUGAUGGAGACUUCACAGCCAAGUAAGCAGAAGUGAAGCACUUGACAAGAUGACAAUAAGGACUGUCAAGUGACUGCUGACGCCAGCAUUUUUGUCCUAUACUAUUUGAAAUAUCAAGUAGAUCAAUUUCCGCGCGCUUGUUUUUUUUUUCAGAUUUUUUGCGAUUGUGAGAUUAUUACCAUUAACUCAGCAAAUUGGUCUUAUUUGCAUCUGAAAUUAUGACAUCUUUUUAACCAGUAUCUUAAGCUUGUUGGAGCACACUUGGUAAUGAGAGAGAGCGGUGUAUCUUCUGUCAAAUGUUACUUUGAAUAACAAAUGAUUGUUGAAUAAUAAUUUUUUUACUGGAUUAGGAAAUACAAAUUAGUAAAAAAAAUAAUCGUAUCAUAAUUCUAACUACUUCGUUUGAUGAUAUCGUAAUUGUACUCCCUGGAAUACAUUAAUAAUACAAGUUACAUUUCUUA
Molecule: long non-coding RNA, 1460 nt
Organism: Stylophora pistillata
Lineage: Eukaryota; Metazoa; Cnidaria; Anthozoa; Scleractinia; Pocilloporidae
Source: RefSeq, a predicted model, not a curated record